GAUGAACGCUGGCGGCGUGCCUAAUACAUGCAAGUCGAGCGAACAGACGAGGAGCUUGCUCCUCUGACGUUAGCGGCGGACGGGUGAGUAACACGUGGAUAACCUACCUAUAAGACUGGGAUAACUUCGGGAAACCGGAGCUAAUACCGGAUAAUAUAUUGAACCGCAUGGUUCAAUAGUGAAAGACGGUUUUGCUGUCACUUAUAGAUGGAUCCGCGCCGCAUUAGCUAGUUGGUAAGGUAACGGCUUACCAAGGCAACGAUGCGUAGCCGACCAGAGGGGGGGAUCGGCACCACGGGACAUGAGACACGAUCCCAAUCCUGAGGGGAGGCAGCAGUAGGGAAUCUGCCGCAAGGGGGGAAAGCCUGAAGGAGGAACGCGGGGUGAGUGAAGAAGUUUGGCGGUUCGUAAACCUUUUUUAUUGGGGAAAAAAAAAUGUGAAAGUAAUUAUGCACGUUUGGAGGGAACCAAUACAAAAAGCCCGGCCAAAUUCCGG
Molecule: ribosomal RNA, 496 nt
Filed under: uncultured bacterium
Lineage: Bacteria
Description: partial 16S ribosomal RNA
Rfam family: Bacterial small subunit ribosomal RNA
Source: RNAcentral